UGGGGGAUAUUGCACAAUGGGCGAAAGCCUGAUGCAGCGACGCCGCGUGGGGGAUGAAGGCCUUCGGGUUGUAAACUUCUUUUGCUCUGAACAAGGCAUGCCUUUGGGGUGUGUUGAGUGUAGGGGUUGAUUAGCGCCGGCUAACUACGUGCCAGCAGCCGCGGUAAUACGUAUGGAGCGAGCGUUGUCCGGAAUUAUUGGGCGUAAAGGGUGCGCAGGCGGCUUUACAAGUUGGAUGUGAAAUAUUGUGGCUCAACCACAAACGUGCAUCCAAAACUGAAAAGCUUGAGUUAAGGAGAGGUAAGUGGAAUUCCUGGUGUAGCGGUGGAAUGCGUAGAUAUCAGGAGGAAUACCGGUGGCGAAGGCGACUUACUGGACUUAAACUGACGCUCAGGCACGAAAGCGUGGGGAGCAAACAGG
This 420-nucleotide ribosomal RNA is filed under the name Fusobacteriota bacterium. RNAcentral describes it as "Fusobacteria bacterium partial 16S ribosomal RNA". It matches the Rfam family "Bacterial small subunit ribosomal RNA", at positions 355 to 776 of the family's 1533-position model. Lineage: Bacteria; Fusobacteriati; Fusobacteriota. The record is from RNAcentral.